RNAcentral lists this transfer RNA (64 nucleotides) under Oberthuerella sharkeyi. RNAcentral describes it as "tRNA-Ala". Lineage: Eukaryota; Metazoa; Arthropoda; Insecta; Hymenoptera; Liopteridae. The record is from RNAcentral.
AGGAUAAUAGUUAAAUUAAUAACAUUUAAAUUGCAAUUAAAAAUUAUUUAAAUAAUUUAUCUUA